UCUAUUAUAUUGAACAAAUUUGUAUAACACUAAUAAAUAUAAUAGAAAUAGCGGAAUUAGCGUGUGCGAAAAAUUUUCGUUGAUCUUCGCUUGCAAAUGCCGGGCUUUCAAUAACUGUGCGUUGUCGGUUUUAUAAGAGCGAGUAAAAUGGAUUUGGACAAUAUCAAAUUUGAGUUUAAGGAAAGAAGCCGUGCAGGUUGCUCUCAAUUAUUAUAUACCCCAAGUGACCAACAAAUUCACAUAAAAAAUAAACAAUUAAAAUCGAAUGAUAUUGCAUAUGUGUGUCGUUCAAAGGAUUGCAGAGCACGGGCUUAUUUAAGUGCAGAUAGGGCUCGCGUCUUUUCCAAUCCCGAAAAAAUUAAGCAUGUUCAUGGACCACAAGGCCAUAAAAUGGAAAAAAUCGAAGUGCUGUCGCAAAUAAAAUUGAAGUGUCAAACCAAUUCCGACGACACCAAAAAAAUAUUUAAUGAUGUUCUCGCCAGAAAAACAAAUGGAGAAGAGGAAAUUGAAAUAAGUUAUGAUGCGGUGAAACGCACUCUACAGCGAAAAAGACAACCCUUUCUUCCAAAAUCUCCAAUUACUCCCGAGGACGUGCGCGAUGCUUUCAAUGAUGAAAAUAUCAUGAACAGUUUUGGCAUGACAAAAGGAAAUUUUCCGAAAGUUUUUUAAAGAAAUUAUAUGCAUCAAGUUCAUUUGCCUAUUGUGUAGGUCAUCACUUUGAUGCAAGCCAAUAUUGAGGAGCAGAAUAGGUAUUUUUUAAUAGAUGCUACAUUUAAAGUUUGCCCUUUCGGGGACUUUAAGCAACUGCUUCUUAUUUAUGUUAAACACAUACAAAAGAUAACACCGUUCCUUUUUGUUUUGAUGACUCGUAAAACAGAGCUCUGUUACCAACACCUAUUUACAUAUGUUGACUCAAAUAUUUGCUGUCUUAAUGGUGCAUCAUUUAUAUCGGAUUAUGAGAAGGCGAUGCGCAACGCUUUGAAAAAUAUGAAUUUCUUUUCUUGCUGGUUCCAUUUUACCCAAGCAUGUAAAAGAAAUGCAAUCAAAACUAUUGGUUUGGAGAAAAUGCUAUCGUGCAAUAAACAUGCGUAUGUAUAUGUGGUUUAUGAAAUUUCUAUAUUUACCUCUUUUACCGGAAUGCAAGAUUGUUGAAGCAAUUAAUCUUCUUGAAGCUCAAGCCACAGCCUUAGAUAAGAAGAUUUUUUCGCCCUUUUUAAAAUAUUUUAAGAAGCAGUGGCUUAAGAAGGAAAGACCUAAAAAUAUAUCGGUAUACAAACGAUCCACAAGAACCACGGGUUCAGUCGAAGCAUAAAUCUGGGCAAUAAAAUUCGAGCAAAGGGACACUUUUUCAAAUUUGUGGAAUGGAUCAUUGAUGCGGAGUAUGAAAAAAGUCGAGAAUUCGCUCUUCUCUUUCAAAAUGGUGGGAUAGGUAAUUCAACACAACCAAAAACUAUACGUCUAAGAUCGCGCUCAAAAAAUUGUGGAUGCAAUGGAUUUGUUUGACAAGGGAGAAAUUGACAUACAGGGUUUUUUGACACGAACUGUUUCGCUAAAUGACCGUUUUAAAAAACAGGACCUGUUUGACAGUGUGCAUAUGGACUUCAAUUUGUCCGGAAUGUCAUCUGAAAUGAAGGCAUCAACAUCAUCGCUUUUGUCGAGUGACUCAAAAUCUAGUCGAAUAUCCGAUUCAUCUAUAUUUCAAAUGAAUCCCUGCAAUGUAUGUCUCAUCGAACCAAAAUCGGUUUUAUUGCGCCAAUGUAAUCAUGUGAAUAUUUGUGCAGCAUGUUGGGAUCAAAUUCUGGCUCAUAAUCAAGAACAGAACGAUGAUCCUAACGAUCCUGACAGUGGUGAACCAAAAUGUCCAUCGUGUCAACAAGUUGUCAAAGAAGAUAUCCGUAAUGUUUAUAUAUAUAAUUAAAAAAUUAAAAUAAUAAACUAAGUUUCAUGCACAUUAAAUAAAUUUAUGUAAUAUGGGCAAUUCUUUGACAGAAUUUGUGCGACCGUCUUUACAGUGAAAAAAACAUAAACUAAACCAAUUUGAAAAUAAGUGAGUUAUUCUUACUAAUCUAGAGCUAUGAGAAAAACCUUUCCUUAUUUUCAAAAUGUGUAUAGUUUAUGUUUUUUUCACUGUAAUGACGUUCCUACAAAUUCGGUCACAGAAUUGUUCAUAUGUAUAAUAUAUAAUUUGAA
Molecule: long non-coding RNA, 2190 nt
Organism: Drosophila biarmipes
Lineage: Eukaryota; Metazoa; Arthropoda; Insecta; Diptera; Drosophilidae
Exons: 5
Source: RefSeq, a predicted model, not a curated record